AACGCACCUUGCGCCCUUUGGCUAUUCUGAAGGGCAUGCCUGUUUGAGUAUCAUGAACACCUCAACUCUCAUGGUUUUGCAUGACGAGUUUGGACUUUGGAGGUCUUGCUGGCCUAUGGUCGGCUCCUCUCAAACGAAUCAGCUUGCCAGUGUUUGGUGGCGUCACAAGUGUGAUAACUAUCUGCGCUUGUGGUUCUCCACCAGGUGACCUUUAGCAAUGGAGGUUCGCUGGAGCUCAUAGAUGUCUCUCCUCAGUGAGGACAGCUUUUUGAACGUUUGAUCUCAAAUCAGGUAGGACUACCCGCUGAACUUAA
RNAcentral lists this ribosomal RNA (314 nucleotides) under uncultured Tomentella. RNAcentral's name for it is "eukaryotic LSU rRNA". The record is from RNAcentral. Lineage: Eukaryota; Fungi; Basidiomycota; Agaricomycetes; Thelephorales; Thelephoraceae.